Non-coding RNA from Aedes albopictus (Asian tiger mosquito), 74 nucleotides. The record is from Rfam. Lineage: Eukaryota; Metazoa; Arthropoda; Insecta; Diptera; Culicidae.
UGUUUUGUGGCUUAGUUGGUUAAAGCGCUGUUCUAGCGAAUUCAGAGUCGUGGGUUCGAAUCCCACCAGAACAC